GAAACCCGGUGAUCUAGCCAUGGGCAGGUUGAAGGUUGGGUAACACUAACUGGAGGACCGAACCGACUAAUGUUGAAAAAUUAGCGGAUGACUUGUGGCUGGGGGUGAAAGGCCAAUCAAACCGGGAGAUAGCUGGUUCUCCCCGAAAGCUAUUUAGGUAGCGCCUCGUGAAUUCAUCUCCGGGGGUAGAGCACUGUUUCGGCAAGGGGGUCAUCCCGACUUACCAACCCGAUGCAAACUGCGAAUACCGGAGAAUGUUAUCACGGGAGACACACGGCGGGUGCUAACGUCCGUCGUGAAGAGGGAAACAACCCAGACCGCCAGCUAAGGUCCCAAAGUCAUGGUUAAGUGGGAAACGAUGUGGGAAGGCCCAGACAGCCAGGAUGUUGGCUUAGAAGCAGCCAUCAUUUAAAGAAAGCGUAAUAGCUCACUGGUCGAGUCGGCCUGCGCGGAAGAUGUAACGGGGCUAAACCAUGCACCGAAGCUGCGGCAGCGACACUAUGUGUUGUUGGGUAGGGGAGCGUUCUGUAAGCCUGUGAAGGUGGCCUGUGAGGGUUGCUGGAGGUAUCAGAAGUGCGAAUGCUGACAUAAGUAACGAUAAAGCGGGUGAAAAGCCCGCUCGCCGGAAGACCAAGGGUUCCUGUCCAACGUUAAUCGGGGCAGGGUGAGUCGACCCCUAAGGCGAGGCCGAAAGGCGUAGUCGAUGGGAAACAGGUUAAUAUUCCUGUACUUGGUGUUACUGCGAAGGGGGGACGGAGAAGGCUAUGUUGGCCGGGCGACGGUUGUCCCGGUUUAAGCGUGUAGGCUGGUUUUCCAGGCAAAUCCGGAAAACCAAGGCUGAGGCGUGAUGACGAGGCACUACGGUGCUGAAGCGACAAAUGCCCUGCUUCCAGGAAAAGCCUCUAAGCAUCAGGUAACAUCAAAUCGUACCCCAAACCGACACAGGUGGUCAGGUAGAGAAUACCAAGGCGCUUGAGAGAACUCGGGUGAAGGAACUAGGCAAAAUGGUGCCGUAACUUCGGGAGAAGGCACGCUGAUAUGUAGGUGAAGCGACUUGCUCGUGGAGCUGAAAUCAGUCGAAGAUACCAGCUGGCUGCAACUGUUUAUUAAAAACACAGCACUGUGCAAACACGAAAGUGGACGUAUACGGUGUGACGCCUG
This 1161-nucleotide ribosomal RNA is filed under the name Escherichia coli. Its description in RNAcentral is "partial 23S ribosomal RNA". It matches the Rfam family "Bacterial large subunit ribosomal RNA", at positions 717 to 1861 of the family's 2925-position model. The record is from RNAcentral. Lineage: Bacteria; Pseudomonadati; Pseudomonadota; Gammaproteobacteria; Enterobacterales; Enterobacteriaceae.